This 446-nucleotide ribosomal RNA is filed under the name Mycobacterium sp. HSC1158. RNAcentral describes it as "bacterial SSU rRNA". It matches the Rfam family "Bacterial small subunit ribosomal RNA", at positions 54 to 501 of the family's 1533-position model. Lineage: Bacteria; Bacillati; Actinomycetota; Actinomycetes; Mycobacteriales; Mycobacteriaceae. The record is from RNAcentral.
CAUGCAAGUCGAACGGAAAGGCCCUUUCGGGGGUACUCGAGUGGCGAACGGGUGAGUAACACGUGGGUGAUCUGCCCUGCACUUUGGGAUAAGCCUGGGAAACUGGGUCUAAUACCGAAUAGGACCACGCGCUUCAUGGUGUGUGGUGGAAAGCUUUUGCGGUGUGGGAUGGGCCCGCGGCCUAUCAGCUUGUUGGUGGGGUAAUGGCCUACCAAGGCGACGACGGGUAGCCGGCCUGAGAGGGUGUCCGGCCACACUGGGACUGAGAUACGGCCCAGACUCCUACGGGAGGCAGCAGUGGGGAAUAUUGCACAAUGGGCGCAAGCCUGAUGCAGCGACGCCGCGUGGGGGAUGACGGCCUUCGGGUUGUAAACCUCUUUCAGUAUCGGCGAAGCUCCAAGGUUUUCUUUGGGGUGACGGUAGGUACAGAAGAAGCACCGGCCAAC